CGUCGGUGGUGCGGGCUUUCCGUUCGCGCGUCGAGUGCUUGCGCCGGGAGCUGCGGUGUUCCUCCGGUGUGGGUGCCAGGCCCGCUCCGGCGA
This 93-nucleotide transfer RNA is filed under the name Pseudarthrobacter scleromae. RNAcentral's name for it is "tRNA-Thr". Lineage: Bacteria; Bacillati; Actinomycetota; Actinomycetes; Micrococcales; Micrococcaceae. The record is from RNAcentral.